GACGAACGCUGGCGGCGUGCUUAACACAUGCAAGUCGAACGGAAAGGCCCUGCUUUUGUGGGGUGCUCGAGUGGCGAACGGGUGAGUAACACGUGAGUAACCUGCCCUUGACUUUGGGAUAACUUCAGGAAACUGGGGCUAAUACCGGAUAGGAGCUCCUGCUGCAUGGUGGGGGUUGGAAAGUUUCGGCGGUUGGGGAUGGACUCGCGGCUUAUCAGCUUGUUGGUGGGGUAGUGGCUGACCAAGGCUUUGACGGGUAGCCGGCCUGAGAGGGUGACCGGCCACAUUGGGACUGAGAUACGGACCAGACUCCUACGGGAGGCAGCAGGGGGGAAUAUUGCACAAUGGGCGGAAGCCUGAUGCAGCAACGCCGCGUGCGGGAUGACGGCCUUCGGGGUGUAAACCGCUUUCGCCUGUGACGAAGCGUGAGUGACGGUAAUGGGUAAAGAAGCACCGGCUAACUACGUG
RNAcentral lists this ribosomal RNA (468 nucleotides) under uncultured bacterium. RNAcentral describes it as "partial 16S ribosomal RNA". It matches the Rfam family "Bacterial small subunit ribosomal RNA", at positions 28 to 507 of the family's 1533-position model. The record is from RNAcentral.